Molecule: long non-coding RNA, 684 nt
Filed under: Monodelphis domestica (gray short-tailed opossum)
Lineage: Eukaryota; Metazoa; Chordata; Mammalia; Didelphimorphia; Didelphidae
Description: lncRNA (ENSMODG00000030770.2)
Source: RNAcentral
CUAUUUGUUAUUUAUUAAAUAUCAGCAGUGGAAACCGACAUUAUCCUUCCCAGGAGACUUGAAAUCUAAAUUUAAAAAGGCAGACAUGACACAAAUAUAGCCACUCCAUUGGAAAUCUGGGUGGAGUGAUCUAUUUCUUCUUGCUUAGAAGAAUUACUCACAGACAUGAUGAUGGUGUUCUCCAGUAGACUAAUCAUAGCAAAUAUGAGGAAGAAGGACUUUGGGAACUCUAAAUAUAAAGUAUCGGGACUGGAAGUCACCUUUGAACACAGAACACAGAAUUGCCACGGAUCAGGAUCCUCAUCUCAGAGCAGUUUCUGGCAGACAGCCAGAGCAUCAAAGUCUUGGAGCUUCAAGGGACCUCAAAGACCAUCUUGUCCAAUCCCCUCAUUUCACAGAUGAGGAAACUGAGACCCAGGCCAGGGAAGCUGUGUGUGAGGUCAGACACCUAAGAUGGGGAAGGGAAGACCACCCUGGAAAACUCAUACUCUAAGGUAGGGAGGAGUGCCAUCUACCUUAUGCCAUAGUAGGAAAUUUCUCCUGUCAUGUAAAUGCCCUUUUAAUUCCCAUCAUCCUACUCAGUGAAUACUGUUUGGCUCAAGAGGGUGGGUGAUGUGGUCUAUGAAUUUAAGCUGUCUACUUCUGCCUAAAGUUUAAUAGAAAAGCCUCUUGCCCACAUGACAU